This is a long non-coding RNA of Carassius auratus (goldfish), 4544 nucleotides long. The record is from Ensembl. NCBI's taxonomy places the organism in Eukaryota, Metazoa, Chordata, Actinopteri, Cypriniformes, Cyprinidae.
AUUUCAUUCACACUAUUUUCUGUACGUGACCCAAAUAGUCUACCAUGUCAUGCAAUGUGCUUUCACCAAAGGUUGAUCGAUUGUGUUCCAGCUGUGUUCUUCCCCCGUGUUUUCACUGACUUCAAUGUGGAGUCGUUACAUCAGAAUCAGAUCGGUAUUGGGUGACUGAAAGCCCUGACCGCAUUAGACUUGUUUCACUCAGCUGCUCAAGCCAGGAGAAGAAACAUCUGCUUGUGAAAGGAUGCACUUUUAAAUACAUGUCUUUAGAAGAUCAUUCAUUCUUCAGAUUACUGGAACUUUAAAAACAAAUUUUAAACAGACCUAAAAAGCUGCAAGGAUUACAUGCCCAAAUAAGAGCUAAAAAAUAAUUUUCAGAAAUUGCAAGGGAGGCAUCAACAGAGUAACGCAGCUAAUACUGAUAGUGUGGCAAGUGUAAGAGAUGGAAAGGUACUUUGCACCAGUGCGUGGCUCCUCAGAGGAUGAGGUGAAAAUGUACAAACAUUACCAUCCCAUACCUCAACAGCAUCCUCACAACCAUCAUUACCAGCAUGACCAGUAUCACCACCAUGGAUCACACAGUCACAGCUCUUCAAGCAGUCACGGAAAACACAGUGAUAAACAUACUCCCCGUCACCACGACAACCAGCAUCACUUUUAUCAUCCCGCAAACCCUAAAAUGUCUGUAGAUCAUCACAGCUUCUCUAAAAGGUCUUCCUCCAGCCUGUCCUCCUCCUCCUCUUCCACUUCUUCUUCUGCAUCUUGGACCUCAGAGCCCAGCUUGGAUGAUGAGACGUAUCUCAUGCACAAACCCCAGCAUUCCCUGUCCUGCUCCAACAUCCCUGAAGUUCGAAGGAAAAACCACAGAGAUCACAGAGAUCAGAGGCACCGCCACAGCCUAGAAAACGUAGACGAACUGCUGCCUGGUUCUCAGGAUGGACAUCAGAUGCCAAAACUCUCCCGGGGCCAUAGCAAAAGCGAGGAGGGCCUUCAACAAAACCAGCACAAACAUGAUAACACCGAAGGAUCUCACUUCAUGGAUCAUGGGCCACUUUACAAGACUGCAAGCCUGGGACAAAGCCUUGCCUUUGGUGGCAAUAAUGACAACACUCUAAGUGGCAAGGGGGUUCCCAAGAAGGCUGUUUCAUCUAUUCAGCUACCCAACAAAGGUAUUCUGAAAAACAAAUAUGAGGGACAGAAAGAAAGAAACUUCAGGAAAGCCAAGUCUAUGGAGGUGCUCUCCACCAGUGUGCACAUCACAGAAACAUCCAAGCAGAUCUCUGUGGAAGCUGCGGGGAAUAACUUUGUGAAAGGGAAGCUACAGUUCUCUGCAUUUCUGGACGAGAUCACCAAGCAGGUUAUCAGUCCCUGUGCUCUUAGCUCUUUUGGUGUAAACACAUCAACGCCACCAAAAUCACCCAAUGAAGAGCGCAAGAACCGCAGCGGCAAGCAGGAGAGCUUUGUGCCAUCACCAAAACAGCAGCCCAUCAGAACUGAGAGACCUGAUUCAGAAAAAAAUGAUUCAAGCUCACUUUCUCGAUCACAUAAGAGACCGAGCAAAUACCACAGCCGAAACCUGACCAGCCCUCCACACCCACCCCACCACCCUUCUAAAGCUGAAAGACAAGGGGCUGCUUCUGGUAAACAGCACCACAGGCAAUAUUCUCAGAUGCUCACUGAUGGCACCAGCACCAGCCCAGAAACUAUCCACACCAACCUCUCCAAACACAAAGGGCGACAUCAAAGUAGUCAUGGCCCUUCCAGACACUUUCACAUUAAACAGGAGAAGGGGUCACCGCCACCUUUGCGAGCCGCAGGGCUGGAGUCAGAGUCUCAGUCGAGUAAAUCAUCCACCAGUGCUAGUUCAGAGAAAAGUGACAGACCCAAACACAUGGGACACAGGAGGCAGUCCAAACCACACAGGGAUUCAUCCGGUUCCGUGGACCGAGUUCAGAUGCUGGAGGAGAACAACAAAGAGCUGCAUGAGAACCUGUUGCAGACGGUGGCAUGCAUUGAGAACAUGGAGGCAGAACUGCAGUGUACCAAGACAGAGUUAGUCAGCUUCAAAGAGAAAUACAGAAGGUCAGAAACUCCACACAUAAUGUUUUUAGUUCAUGGAAUGACAGCUCACCCAUCUCUCAUUCUCUGUUGUAUAUCAUUUUCAGGCUUCAGGAAAGCUAUUCGGUUUCUCAGCAGGCAAAUAGUGUCUUGGAGCAGAAACUCGAAUCUGCGGUGAGAUUAACACAACUGUGUUAACACUUUCCACAAAAGACAAAGAAACUCUGUGUCAUGAAUUGCUUUCUUACAUUUGUUUUCUCACACAAAGCACAUACCUGUGAAAUAUGAUUGUACUCUUGUCAGGCCUUAUUAAAGCACCUGCUUGCCCUUGAGCUGGUCUCUUUCUAAAAAGCAAACUCACAUCAGCUGAAAUUUCUGUAGUGCUAUCUACCGUUACUGAUAUUACAUUUAAGCAGUAUUUUUUUAACCUUAUUCUGACAGGUAGACAGCUUGGACUCAGAGAGGAAGUUCCUCAUGCAGAGAGUUGCAGAUGUGACUAAACAGCUGGAAAUUGCUCAGAAGACCAUCAACUCCCUGGAAAACGUCAAUGUCAGUGCACCCGCAGACAAGAGACAGCAAACAGAUGCUCCAUGUCUUCGUUUUUUUUGCACAAACUAGUCAAUUCCCCACUAAAUAAAUAUAAAUAUAUAGUAUGCAGUAUGCACGUCUAUAAUGUUAUAAAUGACCCAUAGGUAUUUUAUUGUAGUAUAGUAGAUCUUUUACAAGUGCGGCUUGUUUUUAAGAGGGCUCUCCUGCUUUUGACAUCACAGCUCGGGAUAGUCUCAGCCAAUCAGCAUUGCUACAACAUAAUUUUUGCCCUGAAUGAAGAGGGGGCAAUAUAUAAACGUAUAAAAAUAAAAUACAACAAUACUUUCGUUAUAGCCAGCCAGUAUGCUUAUUUAUAGUUGUGUCUGCUUAAUGAAUUGUUUCAACAUAAAAAAAAACAAUUCACCUGUUGAAAAAAAAUAAAUGUUAAAGGUUAACAUCUUUCUCUAUUUAGGUUCCCUCAUUCAUUAGAGAGUUGUUGAAAAAUCACUUUGACUCUCGGGAAGCACUGGAGGACUUCUUAUGCCCUCAAACAUCUUCACGCCAACCUGAAAGCGACCAAUCAGAAAGGGCGCAGGAGGUCAGAAACAACCAACCAUCUGCUGGAAAAGAGGAAGUAUUUAAAUGGCCACAGACUGGACACACAUGCUCAGGUGCCAGACAACAGCCUGCCACAGCCUUUCUGCCUUGGAAACAUGAUCAUGAUCCAUGGGCAGGGCCAGGGCAACUCAUGGCUAAAGGAAGUGACUCACAACUUCCUUUUUCUUUUGAUGAAGAUGUGCCAAUCCACAAAACAAUGGCAGAUACAAAGCCCCCAAGUCAUCAAGUGCAUCAAUUAGCCAUGAACCCAGAGAUCCACGUAAUUCCCCCAAACCCAUAUAAUUUAGAUGAGAUGAGGCUCAGCAGAAAGACAGGUGGAGAGAGAAGCAUCACUGUGGGGAAAGAGCCCACUGAUGUCAGCUAUCUUACAGCUCAAAGGAUGCUGAAUGAGUUUUUGAACCAGAUUCCUCCUCCGGCACAUGAUGGUGAAGGGAAAGAUAGCGUAGAAGCAGAACUUUAACAGAAGGAAGGUAGUAACAUUUAAUUUGACAUCUUUUUAGUAAACUGUAUUAGGAACUGGAUAAAAACUUCAAUAACAUCCCCCAUUACCAAUAUUGCAGCAAGGAUGCAAAUAACUGUGGCUCUGAUGGCUCUUUAUUGGUAGUUGAGAAAUGCACUUGAUUUCUAGCUUUACAAGUAUAAUUGCUAAAUGCAUAUAAGUAUGUAUAUACCAUCUGGUAUUCUGGUUUCCUGCUUUCAAUUGUUGUUCAGUGCAUUUGCAAAAGGCAUUGUCCAUAUUUGUGUUUUGUGCACUUUUUGCCCUCAAUACUGUGAAAUAUUUAAAGUUAGCACUUAAAUGAUGUAAUUCGAUAUUCAUAUUAUUUUAUUACAAAACCAAAAUUACGGUCAAUUUGUUUUGGAAAAGUAUGGCCCUCUCAUUCUUCUGUCUUUGAGUGCUCAAUGUCUGUCUGUAUAAAAUAAAACAAAUUGAACUGCAGAGUGAAUAGCACUUCUAUGAAAUGUUUAAAUGAACCGAGACAAUGUCCAUGUGGUUAUUUAUUGUAUAAAUUAACAUCUAGGGAAGUUUGAAUUGUUGUUUUUGUGAAAUCUAUAUGUGUAACUAUAUGUAUAUGUAUAGAAUAUAAGUAAUAGUUUCUGCUAGAAAUCAAAUAAGCCAUAUAACCAUAUAUAUUUAAUAUAGAAUAGCCUUGUAUUUUUAUUCUAAAUGUAUUAAUAAAAUCUUGUGUGCAAGUUUGCUCUACAUUUGGGAAUGGUUCCUACCUUUCUUAGUCUGCGUGUCUUUUUAUCCAUAUAAAACACAGUCCAAUUAUCAAACAAUUGCUUCAGCUGAUUUCAAGUCCAAAUUAAACAAACAUCACAUUCUCAGUAUAUCAUAGGACAAU